AGUGAACGCUGGCGGUGGGCCUAACACAUGCAAGUCGAACGGCAGCACAGUAAGAGCUUGCUCUUACGGGUGGCGAGUGGCGGACGGGUGAGGAAUACAUCGGAAUCUACUUUUUCGUGGGGGAUAACGUAGGGAAACUUACGCUAAUACCGCAUACGACCUACGGGUGAAAGCAGGGGAUCUUCGGACCUUGCGCGAUUGAAUGAGCCGAUGUCGGAUUAGCUAGUUGGCGGGGUAAAGGCCCACCAAGGCGACGAUCCGUAGCUGGUCUGAGAGGAUGAUCAGCCACACUGGAACUGAGACACGGUCCAGACUCCUACGGGAGGCAGCAGUGGGGAAUAUUGGACAAUGGGCGCAAGCCUGAUCCAGCCAUACCGCGUGGGUGAAGAAGGCCUUCGGGCUGUAAAGCCCUUUUGUUGGGAAAGAAAAGCAGCAGGUUAACACCCCGCUGUUCUGACGGUACCCAAAGGAUAAGCACCGGCUAACUUCGCG
Molecule: ribosomal RNA, 492 nt
Filed under: uncultured bacterium
Lineage: Bacteria
Description: partial 16S ribosomal RNA
Rfam family: Bacterial small subunit ribosomal RNA
Source: RNAcentral